Molecule: long non-coding RNA, 632 nt
Organism: Haplochromis burtoni (Burton's mouthbrooder)
Lineage: Eukaryota; Metazoa; Chordata; Actinopteri; Cichliformes; Cichlidae
Exons: 3
Source: RefSeq, a predicted model, not a curated record
AUGAGGAAACAGAAGAGAGGGAAAAGAGGAAUGUAGGAAGGAAACACGGAGGGCCAAAGAGUAGGGGAGGGCGAAGAAGGAAAUAAGGAGGAAAAAACACGAGGUGAAAGGUGGGAAGUGAAAAAGAAAUGAGAAUCAGAGGAGGUUCAAUAAGGAUACAAGGAAGUGAGGAAGAAACCUUAAAAGAGGCUAUGAGGGAGAAGCAAAGAGACAAUGAAAGAGGAAAAGAAGAGAACACAGGGAAAGGGAGGAGGGAAUGAGGGACAAGGAAAAACACAAAAAAGGAGAGUAAAAAGGACAGAAAAGAAGGUGUGUUGUAAGAGGAGACAUGAUUAAAGACAUUAGUAAGCUGAUUCCUACCAGUAAGGAACAAAAGGUGCUGGACUCCUGCCUGGUCACCCCAUCGCUCAUCAUCCUCUAGAGGGUGGCAGGUGUUCAGGACUAUAGUGAAGGCCUAAGGCCCUUGCUGAGUUGCUGGUUGUCAAACUGAAGAUCUACAGAUGCUUCCCCUCUGACAAAACUGCAGGAAGAGAAAACCACAAACAAGCAGCAACUGAAGACAGCUGCAGUAAAGGCCUGGCAGAACAUCUCAAGGGAGGAAAUGCAACAUUUGGUGUUAUUCAUGGAUUCUA